RNAcentral lists this transfer RNA (74 nucleotides) under Hyphomicrobiales bacterium. Its description in RNAcentral is "tRNA-Gln". It matches the Rfam family "tRNA". From Rfam's summary of the family: Transfer RNA (tRNA) molecules are approximately 80 nucleotides in length. The record is from RNAcentral. Lineage: Bacteria; Pseudomonadati; Pseudomonadota; Alphaproteobacteria; Hyphomicrobiales.
UGCAGCGUCGUCUAGUGGUAGGACACCUGGUUUUGGCCCAGGUAACGCAGGUUCGAGCCCUGCCGCUGCAUCCA